RNAcentral lists this unclassified non-coding RNA (578 nucleotides) under Hevea brasiliensis (rubber tree). Lineage: Eukaryota; Viridiplantae; Streptophyta; Magnoliopsida; Malpighiales; Euphorbiaceae. The record is from RNAcentral.
CGUUGAGUUCCAACUCAAAUGGCAGAUUGUCCACUCCGAACAACCUUCAAAUUGGAGAUAGCAACCAAAAGUCUGUUGGCAAUAGCUUAGGUCUUGAAUGUUCAAAUAUAUCUUCCAAUCUUUCUAUUGAUUCUAGCAUAGUGUGUUUAUAUCGGUGCUGUCCUCAGUGCCUGCUGAACCUUCAGCGCACCUUGAAAAAAAUGCUUUCCUACGAGUGGGGACUUAAAAAGGCCGAGUUUAUAGUAGAGGAUGCUUAUGACUUUCUGGCCUCGUUAGCUGCAAAUCUUCAUUCGGCUUUGAGGGUAUGGUUGUUGGCUGAUGAUUCAACUUCAUUUGAUGAGAAGCGAGUACAAGAAAGGUACGGUGAAUCCUCUGAAUGCAAGAAAACUAACUUUUGUGAAUGUAGAAACUUAGAGAACAGGUUAAUCAAGCUGAUAGAAUGCAACUGCCAUUUGAAAAGCAGUGACCAAACUGAGAAAUGCAAAUCUUCUCAGAAUUUGUCUCAGGAUUUUAUAUUUAGAGAUGGUGUACUGACCAAUUUAGAUGAGAAGAAUGUCUCUACUCAUUGUAAAUUUGAG